Molecule: ribosomal RNA, 250 nt
Filed under: uncultured bacterium
Lineage: Bacteria
Description: partial 16S ribosomal RNA
Rfam family: Bacterial small subunit ribosomal RNA
Source: RNAcentral
UACAGGGGGGCAAGCGUUGUUCGGAAUACUGGGCGUAAAGGGUCUGUAGGUGGCCAACUAAGUCAGACGUGAAAUCCCUCAGCUUAACUGGGGAACUGCGUCUGAUACUGGAUGGCUUGAGUGUGGGAGAGGAAUGCGGAAUUCCAGGUGUAGCGGUGAAAUGCGUAGAUAUCUGGAGAACACCGGUGGCGAAGGCGGCAUUCUGGACCAUAACUGACACUGAGAGACGAAAGCCAGGGGAGCAAACGGG